UCCUAAAGGUUGGCCUUAUGGGAUGG
This 26-nucleotide non-coding RNA is filed under the name Homo sapiens (human). The record is from RNAcentral. Lineage: Eukaryota; Metazoa; Chordata; Mammalia; Primates; Hominidae.